AUGUUUGAAAUUCCUCGGCAGUUAACUGCAGCCGAUUCUUUAAAACUUCGGCAGUUAACUGCCGAGGGGCAU
Molecule: microRNA precursor, 72 nt
Organism: Medicago truncatula (barrel medic)
Lineage: Eukaryota; Viridiplantae; Streptophyta; Magnoliopsida; Fabales; Fabaceae
Rfam family: MIR2629 microRNA precursor family
Source: Rfam